This 429-nucleotide ribosomal RNA is filed under the name Chloroflexota bacterium. RNAcentral describes it as "Chloroflexi bacterium partial 16S ribosomal RNA". It matches the Rfam family "Bacterial small subunit ribosomal RNA", at positions 355 to 776 of the family's 1533-position model. The record is from RNAcentral. Lineage: Bacteria; Bacillati; Chloroflexota.
UGGGGAAUAUUGCACAAUGGGCGCAAGCCUGAUGCAGCCAUGCCGCGUGUGUGAAGAAGGCCUUCGGGUUGUAAAGCACUUUCAGCGGGGAGGAAGGCGGUGAGGUUAAUAACCUCACCGAUUGACGUUACCCGCAGAAGAAGCACCGGCUAACUCCGUGCCAGCAGCCGCGGUAAUACGGAGGGUGCAAGCGUUAAUCGGAGAUACUGGGCGUAAAGCGCACGCAGGCGGUCUGUCAAGUCGGAUGUGAAAUCCCCGGGCUCAACCUGGGAACUGCAUUCGAAACUGGCAGGCUAGAGUCGUGUAGAGGGGGGUAGAAUUCCAGGUGUAGCGGUGAAAUGCGUAGAGAUCUGGAGGAAUACCGGUGGCGAAGGCGGCCCCCUGGACAAAGACUGACGCUCAGGUGCGAAAGCGUGGGGAGCAAACAGG